UACGUAGGCAGCGAGCGUUGUUCGGAGUUACUGGGCGUAAAGAGUGCGUAGGCGGUUUUCUAAGUUUGGUGUGAAAUCUCCCGGCUUAACUGGGAGGGUGCGCCGAAGACUGGAAGGCUUGAGUAUGGGAGAGGUAAGCGGAAUUCCUGGUGUAGCGGUGAAAUGCGUAGAUAUCAGGAGGAACACCCGUGGCGAAGGCGGCCCUCUGGGACGGUACUGACGCUGAGACGCGAAAGCGUGGGGAGCGAACAGG
This 253-nucleotide ribosomal RNA is filed under the name uncultured bacterium. Its description in RNAcentral is "partial 16S ribosomal RNA". It matches the Rfam family "Bacterial small subunit ribosomal RNA", at positions 524 to 776 of the family's 1533-position model. The record is from RNAcentral.